CCAAGGUGAACAGCCUCU
This 18-nucleotide non-coding RNA is filed under the name Arabidopsis thaliana (thale cress). Lineage: Eukaryota; Viridiplantae; Streptophyta; Magnoliopsida; Brassicales; Brassicaceae. The record is from RNAcentral. RNAcentral also lists the same sequence under 2 other names.